Molecule: long non-coding RNA, 1301 nt
Organism: Dama dama (fallow deer)
Lineage: Eukaryota; Metazoa; Chordata; Mammalia; Artiodactyla; Cervidae
Exons: 3
Source: RefSeq, a predicted model, not a curated record
GCGACGGUUUGCCAGCAGCCUCUGAAUAGGCUGUAGCUCAAACAGUAAAGAAUCUGCCUGCAGUGUGGAAGACUUGGGUUCGAGCCCUGGGUUGGGAAGAUCCCCUGGAGGAGGGAAUGGCUACCCACUCCAGUAUUCUUGCCUGGAGAAUCCCCAGGGACAGAAGAGCCUGGUGGGUUACAGUCCAUGGGGUUGCAAAGAGUCAGACAAGCCUGAGCAACUUUCACUUUCCUGGAGAAGUCUGGGGAUUUCCAAAGAUGCGUAUUCCUGAGCUGUGAUGCAGGACCACGGUGCGUCCACAUGCACUGACCGCCUCAUCGCACCAGUGGGAUGUGAGGGUCAAGGGGCUCAUGUUGCCUGCUCUGCGUUUAGAAUCCUGUGUGCUGUGUGAGUCUACAUCCUGAUAAAUUCAAGUGUCCACACUCGGUGGCUUGUUCUUUCAAUGAAGCUUCUCGCCUCCAUUGUGUUGGUCACUUCAACUGCCCUUCUUCGCCCAAAAUAAGAUCCCACCGUGUGGUCAUCCUGGGUGUCCAAUGAAGAGAAAUGAAGUUCCGAGUGUGAGCCAUCUUUGGAGUUAGAAUAUCCUGACCAGGAAGUGAAGCCCUGGAGGUUGAUCUGAGCUGGCUAAGUCACCUGUGCGUCUCUGGGAAUCUCAGGCUUGGACUCUGGGGCAUCUGCACGUCACUGAGGACAUUCUUGUCUGGUGUAGAAACGAAGGCUUCUUCCUCACAGAGGGGCUGUGUUCUAAGCAAGAAAGUGCAGCGAUAAGGCAGUCCAGCUGGAGACCCCAAAUACCCAAGGUCUCGUGCCCAGAGGUUCACACAGCAGAGUGACCGCAUCCAAAAGGUCAUUGGGAGCUUUGCUCUGAGCUGUAAUUUCCUCAGGACUUAAACAAAAACGGACCGCGUGUUUCAGUCUGGUCUCAGUGCUGCUGUGGGAAACUGCCAAGAUGUUCUGCCUUCAUGCUCUGGUGGGAGUGGGAAAAGACAAGAGAAUGUGCCAUGGUUUAACAGUUUCAGUUAUAAUACGGUACAAAAUGCUGUUCUAUGUAUAUCUGUGCUUCACUGAAAAGGGUGGUCAAACGUUUUAGGUUGGUUUUCAACUCAAAGUUUGCUCCUGAUGCUGACACAGACAACACUGAAGUAAAUCUAUGCUUUCUGCCUCAUUUCAUUUAUUCAUUUAUUCACUUGUUUAACAAAAAUAUAGGAAUCACCAAUAAUUGUAAACCAGGGCUUUCCCCAAGUGUUGUGGACAUAAAACAGAUCCUUGCCCCAUAGAAGACAGACACGUAAAAAGGAAGA